This 876-nucleotide ribosomal RNA is filed under the name Taphrina wiesneri. RNAcentral describes it as "SSU rRNA". It matches the Rfam family "Bacterial small subunit ribosomal RNA", at positions 378 to 1218 of the family's 1533-position model. The record is from RNAcentral. Lineage: Eukaryota; Fungi; Ascomycota; Taphrinomycetes; Taphrinales; Taphrinaceae.
GCAGGUUGACCAGCUAUCUGGAAGGGUGUAAACUAAAUAAGGAUAAAGCCCUAAAAAAGAGAGGAUAAUGACGUUAUCUUUUUGACAAGUCUCGACCAAAUCACGUGCCAGCAGUCGCGGUAAAACGUGGGAGGCAAGCGUUAUUGAUCUUAAAUGGGUCUAAAGGGUCCGUAAAACGGUAAAUUAAGCGAAUCUCUUUCCUAUAUGGGAAGAGAGUUUAAUCGAACUGAUUUACUAGAGUCUUAUAGAAGAACAGAGGAAUUGCAAGAGUAAGGAUGAAAUCUAUUGAUACUUGUAGGACCGCCAAAGGCGAAGGCAUCGUUCUAGGUAAAGACUGACGUUGAGGGACGUAGGCGUUGGGAGCGAAAAGGAUUAGAUACCCCUGUAGUCAACGCUGUAAACGAUGAGUGCUUAAGAUUAGUAAUAAUAAUUAAUAAGUAAUUAGGUUUUAAUGCCUAUAACUAUUAUAAAAAUUAGUCUCGAAAUGAAGAUGUUAAGCACUUCACCUGGGGAGUACUGUCGCAAGGCUGAAACCCAAAACAUUAGACGGUCACGGAAACCAGCAGUGAAGCAUGUUAUUUAAUACGAUGAUCCGCGUACAACCUUACCACUUCUUGAAUGUCCUUUUCUGUAAAAAGAAAAGGCCUAUUUAAUUAAAAAAAUAAACAUUAAUUAAAUUUGGAUAAAUACAACAGGCGUUGCAUGGCUGUCUUCAGUUCGUGUCGUGAGAUGUCAGGUUCAUUCCGGUCAACGAAUGAAACCCUUCUUUCUUAAUUUUGCAUUAAUUAAAAUAAAAUUUAUUAAGAUGACCCUUGGAAAACGAGGAUAUAAUGGGGAUUAAGACAAGUCGUCAUGGCCUUUAUGAAGUGGGCUAUA